CCUACGUGAGGCAGCAGUGAGGAAUAUUGGUCAAUGGGCGCGCGCCUGAACCAGCCACGUAGCGUGAAGGAUGACUGCCCUACGGGUUGUAAACUUCUUUUAUAAAGGAAUAAAGUGAGGCACGUGUGCCUUUUUGUAUGUACUUUAUGAAUAAGGAUCGGCGAACUCCGUGCCAGCAGCCGCGGUAAUACGGAGGAUCCGAGCGUUAUCCGGAUUUAUUGGGUUGAAAGGGAGCGUAGAUGGGUUGUUAAGUCAGUUGUGAAAGUUUGCUGCUCAACCGUAAAAUUGCAAUUGAUACUGGCAGUCUUGAGUACAGUUGAGGUAGGCGGAAUUCGUGGUGUAGCGGUGAAAUGCUUAGAUAUCACGAAGAACUCCGACUGCGAAGGCAGCUUACUAAACUGCCACUGACAUUGAUGCUCGAAAGUGUGGGUAUCAAACAGGAUUAGAUACCCGUGUAGUC
This 460-nucleotide ribosomal RNA is filed under the name uncultured bacterium. Its description in RNAcentral is "partial 16S ribosomal RNA". It matches the Rfam family "Bacterial small subunit ribosomal RNA", at positions 338 to 795 of the family's 1533-position model. The record is from RNAcentral.